Molecule: ribosomal RNA, 570 nt
Filed under: Trichoderma sp. PPRI 13820
Lineage: Eukaryota; Fungi; Ascomycota; Sordariomycetes; Hypocreales; Hypocreaceae
Description: eukaryotic LSU rRNA
Source: RNAcentral
GCUUMACUCCCAAACCCAAUGUGAACGUUACCAAACUGUUGCCUCGGCGGGGUCACGCCCCGGGUGCSUCGCAGCCCCGGAACCAGGCGCCCGCCGGAGGAACCAACCAAACUCUUUCUGUAGUCCCCUCGCGGACGUAUUUCUUUACAGCUCUGAGCAAAAAUUCAAAAUGAAUCAAAACUUUCAACAACGGAUCUCUUGGUUCUGGCAUCGAUGAAGAACGCAGCGAAAUGCGAUAAGUAAUGUGAAUUGCAGAAUUCAGUGAAUCAUCGAAUCUUUGAACGCACAUUGCGCCCGCCAGUAUUCUGGCGGGCAUGCCUGUCCGAGCGUCAUUUCAACCCUCGAACCCCUCCGGGGGAUCGGCGUUGGGGAUCGGGACCCCUCACACGGGUGCCGGCCCCUAAAUACAGUGGCGGUCUCGCCGCAGCCUCUCCUGCGCAGUAGUUUGCACAACUCGCACCGGGAGCGCGGCGCGUCCACGUCCGWAAAACACCCAACUUUCWGAAAUGUUGACCUCGGAUCAGGUARGAAUACCCGCUGAWCUUAAGCWUAUYAAUAMGCGGAGGAAAU